UACAGAGGGGGCAAGCGUUGUUCGGAAUUACUGGGCGUAAAGGGCGCGUAGGCGGCCUGCUAAGUCGAACGUGAAAUCCCCGGGCUCAACCCGGGAACUGCGUCCGAUACUGGUGGGCUUGAAUCCGGGAGAGGGAUGUGGAAUUCCAGGUGUAGCGGUGAAAUGCGUAGAUAUCUGGAGGAACACCGGUGGCGAAGGCGGCAUCCUGGACCGGUAUUGACGCUGAGGAGCGAAAGCCAGGGGAGCAAACGGG
Molecule: ribosomal RNA, 253 nt
Filed under: uncultured bacterium
Lineage: Bacteria
Description: partial 16S ribosomal RNA
Rfam family: Bacterial small subunit ribosomal RNA
Source: RNAcentral